This 497-nucleotide ribosomal RNA is filed under the name uncultured bacterium. RNAcentral's name for it is "partial 16S ribosomal RNA". It matches the Rfam family "Bacterial small subunit ribosomal RNA", at positions 28 to 507 of the family's 1533-position model. The record is from RNAcentral.
GAUGAACGCUGGCGGCGGGCCUAAUACAUGCAAGUCGAGCGAACAGACGAGGAUUUUGCUCCUCUGACGUUAGCGGCGGGCGGGUGAGUCACACGUGAAUAACCUACCUAUAAGACUGAGAUAACCUCGGGAAACCGGAACUAAUACCGGAUAAUAUAUAGAACCGUAUGGUUUAAUAGUAAAAUUCGGUUUUGCUGUUACUUAUAGAGGAAUCUGCGCCGCAUUAGCUAGUUGGUAAGGUAACGGCUUACCACUUCGACGAUGCGUAGCCGACCUGCCAGGGGGAUCGGCCACACUGGACCUGAGACACGGUCCAGACUCCUACGGGAGGCAGCAGUAGGGAAUCUUCCGCAGUGGGCGAAAGCCUGACGGAGCACCGCCGCGUGAGUGAUGAAGAUCUUGGGAUCGUAAAACUCUGUUAUUAGGGAAGAACAAAUGUGUAAGUAACUAUGCACGUCUUGACGGUACCUAAUCAGAAAGCCACGGCUAACUACGUG